CAAGUCGAACGGGAAUCUUCGGAUUCUAGUGGCGGACGGGUGAGUAACGCGUAAGAAUCUAACUUCAGGACGGGGACAACAGUUGGAAACGACUGCUAAUACCCGAUGUGCCGAAAGGUGAAACCUAAUUGGCCUGAAGAAGAGCUUGCGUCUGAUUAGCUAGUUGGUGGGGUAAAGGCCUACCAAGGCGACGAUCAGUAGCUGGUCUGAGAGGAUGAGCAGCCACACUGGGACUGAGACACGGCCCAGACUCCUACGGGAGGCAGCAGUGGGGAAUUUUCCGCAAUGGGCGAAAGCCUGACGGAGCAACGCCGCGUGAGGGAGGAAGGUCUUUGGAUUGUAAACCUCUUUUCUCAAGGAAGAAGUUCUGACGGUACUUGAGGAAUCAGCCUCGGCUAACUCCGUGCCAGCAGCCGCGGUAAUACGGGGGAGGCAAGCGUUAUCCGGAAUUAUUGGGCGUAAAGCGUCCGCAGGUGGUCAGCCAAGUCUGCCGUCAAAUCAGGUUGCUUAACGACCUAAAGGCGGUGGAAACUGGCAGACUAGAGAGCAGUAGGGGUAGCAGGAAUUCCCAGUGUAGCGGUAAAAUGCGUAGAGAUUGGGAAGAACAUCGGUGGCGAAAGCGUGCUACUGGGCUGUAUCUGACACUCAGGGACGAAAGCUAGGGGAGCGAAAGGGAUUAGAUACCCCUGUAGUCCUAGCCGUAAACGAUGGAUACUAGGCGUGGCUUGUAUCGACCCGAGCCGUGCCGAAGCUAACGCGUUAAGUAUCCCGCCUGGGGAGUACGCACGCAAGUGUGAAACUCAAAGGAAUUGACGG
This 816-nucleotide ribosomal RNA is filed under the name uncultured bacterium. RNAcentral's name for it is "bacterial SSU rRNA". It matches the Rfam family "Bacterial small subunit ribosomal RNA", at positions 58 to 916 of the family's 1533-position model. The record is from RNAcentral.